UUAACUAUUUAAUAGUACUCAGACGACACUAAUAUUCAGAGUUUAGGAUCCUCUGGCGGGCACGCCGGACGCGAAUCCGGACAAGCCAGGCUUGCGGCCCGCCAAAGCAACAUUUGAUAAUGAUACACAAGGGUGGGAGAUCUACCCCGAAGGGCAUGAACUCUGUAAUGAUCCUUCCGCAGGUUCACCUACGGAAA
RNAcentral lists this unclassified non-coding RNA (197 nucleotides) under uncultured fungus. RNAcentral's name for it is "sequence contains ITS1". The record is from RNAcentral. Lineage: Eukaryota; Fungi.